This 696-nucleotide long non-coding RNA is filed under the name Coturnix japonica (Japanese quail). RNAcentral's name for it is "lncRNA (ENSCJPG00005011365.1)". The record is from RNAcentral. Lineage: Eukaryota; Metazoa; Chordata; Aves; Galliformes; Phasianidae.
CCAAGUUGGUGUUUGUAUUUUUAAGUCUUUGUUUCUUUGGCAUUCUUGAAAUAUGAAAAUACUCAAAAAAUUAGGAGUUGGGAUAUAAACCUCUUUCCUCUUUCUUGCUUGUUUCCAAACUGUCAGGCUCAGAAUCAAGAACCUCGCUGGAGGUGCAGGCUCUUUGAGCAGAGAUGUGCCAUGCAGAGGGGUGUGAAGGUGUAAUCAUCCCCUGUGACAGUGUGCUGAAGCCCUGUGCCAACCUGGCUGCAUGGGACAAGGGCAAAUAGCUACCACAUGUGAUUUGCAUCUGCAAGUGCUGCAGGGCUGCCCUGGCUGUCACAGCAGAGGAUAAGACUCCAGUGGUCGCCAGCAGGACACCUGGGAAGGUUCUCACUUCAUGCAGUUCUGCUGUCCUCUCCAUGGACCAAAGAGCAGCAUGACACCAUCAUACACAAGGUGGGAGCUCUGCAUCCUGUGAAACCAGCUGGAACAUCGUGCCUGUGAGCAAGUGAACCAAGCACAGAGAGAAGAGGAUUUUCAGACAUAUUUUUCCUCCCUUUUUCUGUAGAAAUGAAGACAGACAUUGACUAACAUUUGUUCAAGGCCAUCUAUGUGAAACGUAUCCAAAACAUCUUUGCAAAGCAAAGGUAAGAACAAACUUCUAUAAACAAUACCAUGAGUACAAAUUGUGCCCUUCUUUCAAUUACAUUCAUU